GAUGAACGCUGGCGGCGUGCCUAAUACAUGCAAGUCGAGCGAACAGACGAGGAGCUUGCUCCUCUGACGUUAGCGGCGGACGGGUGAGUAACACGUGGAUAACCUACCUAUAAGACUGGGAUAACUUCGGGAAACCGGAGCUAAUACCGGAUAAUAUAUUGAACCGCAUGGUUCAAUAGUGAAAGACGGUUUUGCUGUCACUUAUAGAUGGAUCCGCGCCGCAUUAGCUAGUUGGUAAGGUAACGGCUUACCAAGGCAACGAUGCGUAGCCGACCUGAGAGGGUGAUCGGCCACACGGGAACUGAGACACGGUCCAGAAUCCUACGGGAGGCAGCAGUAGGGAAUCUUCCGCAAUGGGCGAAAGCCGGACGGAGCAACGCCGCGUGAGUGAUGAAGGUCUUCGGAUCGUAAAACUCUGUUAUUAGGGAAGAACAAAUGUGUAAGUAACUAUGCACGUCUUGACGGUACCUAAUCAGAAAGCCACGGCUAACUACGUG
This 497-nucleotide ribosomal RNA is filed under the name uncultured bacterium. RNAcentral's name for it is "partial 16S ribosomal RNA". It matches the Rfam family "Bacterial small subunit ribosomal RNA", at positions 28 to 507 of the family's 1533-position model. The record is from RNAcentral.